CCGGCUGAACAUGGGAAGCUUCGUGGAAAGGAUCCCGGUGCAGAGUUCUAUCCUCAACACCAGACCUUUUUGUAGGGCUUGGGCUUUCAAAAGUUUGCGGCUCAAAACAUCCUCUCCUAUCGGGAGAGGUGGACUCUAGACCCAGAAGCCCAUCGGCCAGCAGGGGGCGGGACGGGGCCGGGGCCGCAGUCUCAGGUUGCAUCCCUGUGACCAGGUCUCGCUGGGAGGUCUGUCUUCUAUUACACUCAACGUCUGCCCUCUUUGGUUCCUACGUCUGACUUGUUUGCUCAGACUAACUUUGGUGUUCAUUAGAAAGUGUACUUCCCCCUGCAUUGACAGCGGCCCCGUUGCUGAGAUGGAAAGAGGAGGAAUUUAGUAAUCUGACCUCUAAAGAAGGCUCCGCUGGGGAUUCUCAAGUCUCUUGACUCAGAAAAAGGGCAGGCAUGAAUGAUCGUAGAUAGAAGCACCUUGAUGAGGGCAUAUACCCACGUAGAAUUCUGUGUGGCUGUGAAAAAGAAAGACAGAUAGA
Cervus elaphus (red deer) is the source of this 529-nucleotide long non-coding RNA. RefSeq lists it as uncharacterized. The transcript is spliced from 3 exons. The record is from RefSeq and is a predicted model, not a curated record. Lineage: Eukaryota; Metazoa; Chordata; Mammalia; Artiodactyla; Cervidae.